This 493-nucleotide ribosomal RNA is filed under the name uncultured bacterium. RNAcentral describes it as "bacterial SSU rRNA". It matches the Rfam family "Bacterial small subunit ribosomal RNA", at positions 28 to 521 of the family's 1533-position model. The record is from RNAcentral.
GAUGAACGCUGGCUGUGUGCCUAAUACAUGCAUGUCGAACGAAGCACUUGUGCUUAGUGGCGAAUGGGUGAGUAACACGUACUUAAUCUACCUCUAGGUUUGGGACAACAGUUGGAAACGAAUGCUAAUACCGAAUAUACCUUAACGCCGCAUGGUGAUUUGGUAAAAGGCCCGUUUGGGCUGCUAAGAGAUGAGAGUGCGGUACAUUAGUUAGUUGGUAGGGUAAAGGCCUACCAAGACGAUGAUGUAUAGCGGGGUUGAGAAGCUGAACCGCCACACUGGGACUGAGAUACGGCCCAGACUCCUACGGGAGGCAGCAGUAGGGAAUAUUCCACAAUGAGCGAAAGCUUGAUGGAGCGACACAGCGUGCAGGAUGAAGGUCUUCGGAUUGUAAACUGCUGUUAUAAGGGAAGAAAACCGGUGUAGGAAAUGACAUCGGCUUGACGGUACCUUAUCAGAAAGCACCGGCAAACUAUGUGCCAGCCGCCGCGGU